GACGAACGCUGGCGGCGUGCUUAACACAUGCAAGUCGAACGGAAAGGCCCUGCUUUUGUGGGGUGCUCGAGUGGCGAACGGGUGAGUAACACGUGAGUAACCUGCCCUUGACUUUGGGAUAACUUCAGGAAACUGGGGCUAAUACCGGAUAGGAGCUCCUGCUGCAUGGUGGGGGUUGGAAAGUUUCGGCGGUUGGGGAUGGACUGGCGGCUUAUCAGCUUGUUGGUGGGGUAGUGGCUCACCAAGGCGAUGACGGGUAGCCGGCCGGAGAGGGUGACCGGACACACUGGAACUGAGACACGGCCCAGACGCAUACGGGAGGCAGGAGUGGGGAAGAGGGGACAAUGGGCGAAAGCCUGAUCCAGCCAUACCGCGUGGGUGAAGAAGGCCUUCGGGUUGUAAAGCCCUUUUGUUGGGAAAGAAAAGCAGCAGGUUAAUACCCCGCUGUUCUGACGGGACCCAAAGAAUAAGCACCGGCUAACUGCGUG
This 488-nucleotide ribosomal RNA is filed under the name uncultured bacterium. RNAcentral describes it as "partial 16S ribosomal RNA". It matches the Rfam family "Bacterial small subunit ribosomal RNA", at positions 28 to 507 of the family's 1533-position model. The record is from RNAcentral.